GAUUAAUUGAAAAGGGCUUUUGGUGGAUGCCUUGGUAUCAAGAGGCGAUGAAGGAGGCGGAAGACUGCCAUAAGCUUCGGGGAGCUGUCAAUCAAGCUUUGAUCCGAAGAUUUCCGAAUGGGGCAACCCGGCUUGGCAAAACCAAGUCAUUCUUAUUUGAAUACAUAGAAUAAGAAAGCGAACGACGUGAACUGAAACAUCUAAGUAGCGUCAGGAAAAGAAAACAAAGUGAUUCCCUCAGUAGUGGUGAGCGAAAGGGGAUAAGUCUAAACCUUUAUUACGUGAUAGCCUGUGUGCGUUGUAAUAAUGGGGUUGUGGGGUAUGAACGAUCAAGAUAUACAGAUCUUGGAUUGUGUUAGAUUAACGUAGUCGAAUGUUCUGGAAAGGGCAGCCAAAGAAAGUGACAGCCUUGUACGCAAAACGUUAAAAUAAGCAAUAGUUCGUAAACCCGAGUACCAUGGAGCACGUGUAAUUCCGUGGGAAUCUGUCCGGACCAUCGGAUAAGACUAAAUACUACUUGAUGACCGAUAGUGAACUAGUACCGUGAGGGAAAGGUGAAAAGAACCCCGGAAGGGGAGUGAAAUAGAACAUGAAACCAAUUGUCUACAAUCGGAGGAAGCGAUAUAUACGUAUGCGCGACCUCGUACCUUUUGCAUAAUGAGCCAACGAGUUAUCAUGCGCUGCAAGGUUAAGUUUUGAAAGAACGGAGCCGUAGGGAAACCGAGUCUGAAUAGGGCGAAUAGUAGCGUAGGAUAGACCCGAAACCUAGUGAGCUAUCCAUGUCCAGGGUGAAAUCUCAGUUACAUGAGAUGGAGGCCCGAACCGGUGUGAGUUGAAAAUCGCUCGGAUGAGGUGUGGAUAGGAGUGAAAGGCUAAUCAAACUGGGAAAUAGCUGGUUCUCCCCGAAAUAUAUUUAGGUAUAGCCUUGGUGUGUACGUUAUGGUGGUAAAGCACAGUUUGAAUUGUGGGGGCGUAAGUCUACCGGAUUCUUACUAACUCUGAAUGCUAUAACGGUUUAAGCCAGGAGACAGUCCAUGUGAGAUAAGUUGUGUGGACGAAAGGGAAAGAGCCCAGAUCAUCAGCUAAGGUCCCUAAAUACUCGUUAAGUGGUAAAAGAAGUGAAAACGCAAUGACAGCCAGGAUGUUGGCUUAGAAGCAGCCAUCAUUUAAAGAAAGCGUAACAGCUCACUGGUCAAGUAUUUUUGCGCUGAAAAACGAACGGGGCUUAAACGAGUUACCGAAGCUAUGGAUUGUAAUAGGGUUCUACCUUGUUAUAGUGGUAGGGGAGCGUUCCUUGAUAGAUACAAGCUUGACCGUAAGGACAGGUGUCGUUGAUCAAGGAAGUGAGCAUGUUGGUAUAAGUAACGAAAAAAUAGGUGAAAUUCCUGUUCGCCGUAAGUCUAAGGGUUCCGUGAGAUCGGUUCAUCCACUCAGGGUUAGUCGACUCCUAAGCCGAGGCCAUUUGGAGUAGGCGAUGGGAAACAGGUUAAAUAUUCCUGUACCAUUUGAUAGCGUUUGAGUGAAGGAGUGACGCAGUAAGGCAGGUUUACUUGAUGUUUGGAUGUCAAGCUAAGCAUUUAGAGGGGUCUCAUUGGCAAAUCCGUGAGACCGUUAUCCUUGAGGUGUAAUGGGUACGCUAAUUUUUAGGAAGAAGCGUAUUAGACUGAUCCUACACUGACUAGAAAAGCUUCUAGCGAGCUAUUUAAAUGAUCGUACCGCAAACCGACACAGGUAGACGGGCAGAGAAUGCUCAGGCGUUGAGAUAACUAUCAUUAAGGAACUCGGCAAAAUUGCCCCGUAACUUCGGGAGAAGGGGUGCCUACAGUGUGAUUAAAGUUUACUUUAAGGAGCAUUGUUAGGUUUCAAUAAAUAGGCCCAACCGACUGUUUAACAAAAACACAGGGCUGUGCGAACUCGUAAGAGGAAGUAUACAGUCUGACGCCUGCCCAGUGCUGGAAGGUUAAUAAGAGAGGUCAGCCGUAAGGUGAAGCUUUGAAUUGAAGCCCCAGUAAACGGCGGCCGUAACUAUAACGGUCCUAAGGUAGCGAAGUACCUUGUCGGGUAAGUUCCGACGCGCAUGAAUGGCGUAACGAGUUGGGCGCUGUCUUGAUGAUAGACUCAGUGAAUUUGUAGUACCAGUGAAAAUGCUGGUUACCCGCGACAGGACGGAAAGACCCCGUGCACCUUUACUAUAACUUGACAUUGAUUUUUGGAUUAACUUGUGUAGGAUAGGCGGGAGACUUUGAAGUCGAGACGCUAGUUUCGAUGGAGUCAUCCUUGAAAUACCGCCCCUGUUGAUUUGAAGAUCUAACUUUGUCCCGUAAUCCGGGCAGAGAACAGUGUCUGGUGGGUAGUUUGACUGGGGUGGUCGCCUCCUAAAAAGUAACGGAGGCGUUCAAAGGUUCCCUCAUGACGAAUAGAAAUCGUCUGUAGAGUGUAAAGGCAUAAGGGAGCUUAACUGUAAGACAUACAGGUCGAGCAGAUGCGAAAGCAGGACUUAGUGAUCCAGUGGUUCUGAAUGGAAGGGCCAUUGCUAAACGGAUAAAAGGUACGCCGGGGAUAACAGGCUGAUCUCCUCCAAGAGUCCAUAUCGACGAGGAGGUUUGGCACCUCGAUGUCGACUCAUCGCAUCCUGGGGCUGAAGAAGGUCCCAAGGGUUUGGCUGUUCGCCAAUUAAAGCGGUACGUGAGUUGGGUUCAGAACGUCGUAAGACAGUUCGGUCCUUAUCCGUCGUGGGCGUAAGGUAUUUGAGAAGGGCUGUCCCUAGUACGAGAGGACCGGGAUGGGUUUGCCUCUGGUGUUCCAGUUGUCCUCCAAGGGCAACGCUGGGUAGCUAAGCAGAUUAGAGAUAACCGCUGAAAGCAUCUAAGUGGGAAACUCGCUUCAAGAUAAGAUACCUCUUUAUAAGACCCCUUGAAGACUACAAGGUUGAUAGGCUGGGUGUGUAAGUACCGUAAGGUAUUCAGCUAACCAGUACUAAUCGGUCGAAAGUUUUAGUCAC
This 3001-nucleotide ribosomal RNA is filed under the name Candidatus Babeliales bacterium. Its description in RNAcentral is "23S ribosomal RNA". It matches the Rfam family "Bacterial large subunit ribosomal RNA". Lineage: Bacteria; Candidatus Babeliae; Candidatus Babeliales. The record is from RNAcentral.